GACGAACGCUGGCGGCGUGCCUAAUACAUGCAAGUAGAACGCUGAAGGAGGAGCUUGCUUCUCUGGAUGAGUUGCGAACGGGUGAGUAACGCGUAGGUAACCUGCCUGGUAGCGGGGGAUAACUAUUGGAAACGAUAGCUAAUACCGCAUAAGAGUAGAUGUUGCAUGACAUUUGCUUAAAAGGUGCAAUUGCAUCACUACCAGAUGGACCUGCGUUGUAUUAGCUAGUUGGUGGGGUAACGGCUCACCAAGGCGACGAUACAUAGCCGACCUGAGAGGGUGAUCGGCCACACUGGGACGGAGACACAGGGCAGACUCCUACGGGAGGCAGCAGUAGGGAAUCUUCGGCAAUGGACGGAAGUCUGACCGAGCAACGCCGCGUGAGUGAAGAAGGUUUUCGGAUCGUAAAGAUCUGUUGUAAGAGAAGAACGAGUGUGAGAGUGGAAAGUGCACACUGUGACGGUAUCUUACCAGAAAGGGACGGCUAACUACGUG
Molecule: ribosomal RNA, 495 nt
Filed under: uncultured bacterium
Lineage: Bacteria
Description: partial 16S ribosomal RNA
Rfam family: Bacterial small subunit ribosomal RNA
Source: RNAcentral